ACUUCGUGCUCAGAGAACAGAAUGCCAUGACCUUUAAAUGACCAUAAUUCCUGUCUCAGAACUGUAGUCAUCCCAAUUUCUGUUCUGUCACGCUGACAUCUUUUAUGAGGUUGAGUCCCUGGACAGUCUCAGGGUUCUCAUCAGAGCACCCAAGAGAUACAGGUGGGGAACAGGUCUCAGACUGGAUGCCCUGGAUGACUGGUAAAGAAGCAUCUCCUGUGGUUGCAAGGAUGGUAGAUGGAUCUUAAAAAUACUUCCUGCCUAUAAUUCCAGCUCGAGGAGAAUCUGAUAUGCUUGACCUCUGCGGGUUCCUGCAGUCACAUGCAUGUGCCCUACACAUACACAUCAUUUGGAAGAUACGCACUUUCAGUAGUUGGAUUUGAGACUUCGAUUGCAGCGGGGAGAUACUCUGUGAUUAACGUGUUUGCUGUGCACGCAUGGCGACUAGAGUCAGAAUAUCCUGACCUCAUGCAAAUGGCAGCCUGGAGUCUCUGAAAAACCCUAACCAGUUACAUAAAAUGAUGAACUCCAAAAAGUCACUGGCAGAGGUCCAAAACCCCUUCUCCAUUUACUGGUCUGUUGACAUUGCCUCUGUGGGUUCAGAGACCGUGACAUCUUCCACUGGUGCAGCACCUCUCCGUCACUCAGUCACUGAAAUAAAGACUUCCUAUUGAUUGUUUUAAGAGGAUGUCUUUCCCUGUGCUCAGAAAUGACAGUUACGUGACAAAGAUUUCAGAAACAGCUUAGUGGACAUUCCCUUCACUAUCUCUCAUUUUCAACUCAAAAAUAACAACACAUCACUCAGCUCCCCACCUCUCGUUCUCAGACACACAUGUCCUGGGAUGACAGGAUAUCCUUGCUGAUGAGAAUGAAUGUGCCACCUGCCAAGGAGAGAUGCUCGGUCUGUGUUGACGGAUCUGGCUUCUCAGCAGAGCACAGCAAAGCUGCUCUCUCUCUCUCUCUCUCUCUCUCUCUCUCUCUCUCUCUCUCUCUCUCUCUCUCUCUCUCUCUCCCCAUCUCUCCCUCUCUCCCUCCCCCCUCCUUCUUCCUCUCUGUCCUUGCUCACAGUGCCUCUGUCAUCAAAGAGAAGAGUGGCAUCUAGGAGGCUGCUCUGGGCCCAUGAACUUUAUAGUGACCCAGGAAUCCAGGGACACACCAGAAGCCACAUCCUGGAACCACCAGAGGAUACUCAACAGGAAGAAGGUCCACUGCUGACUCCCCAGCAUAACUGGGAAGAACCAUGACUCCCAAGAAAUGUGGCCAUUUCCUGUUAAGCAACACCAUCCUCUCCGAUGUGACUGAUGCUGAUGACAACCACUGUGUCUGAACCCCAUGUUUGUUGCAGAUGUAAACUCACCCCACUGUAUCUGGAGAAGUGAUUUGACAAGAGAGAAGCAAUCCCUGCUGCCCAGCCUGACGUGAUGACCUGUACUUCUUUGGCCAAGCGUGAGACGAGACCUGGAUGGUGCUGUGUGCUGUGGCUUUCCUUGCUUGUGUACUUUCAAUCUAGCCAGUGUGUGGCUUGGUUUAGAAAUUAGAUGAGCUGUUGAAAAUUCAAUUAAAAUGUUGAACUUGGGGUCAAAUUAA
RNAcentral lists this long non-coding RNA (1587 nucleotides) under Mus musculus (house mouse). RNAcentral describes it as "predicted gene, 49878". The record is from RNAcentral. Lineage: Eukaryota; Metazoa; Chordata; Mammalia; Rodentia; Muridae.